GGCCAGAAAGCUUCAUCGAAGACGACGUCUCAGUUUCCAAGUUUGGCGGAAUACACUGGAGACAAGCUCUUCUUUCUUUCUGCUGGCAUUGGGAUGUGCCUGUACAUGCGUGAUCUGAAACUCCGUUUUCCGGAUCGAACAAAGCAAUACAGCUCAGCACAGGAGAGGAUCAACUUCCCGCUUGGGAACAUGAAGGAAUUCAGCGACGCCUUUGGCUGCAAAAGUAGUGACUACAUGAAUUUC
Long non-coding RNA from Ornithodoros turicata, 243 nucleotides. RefSeq lists it as uncharacterized. The transcript has 3 exons. The record is from RefSeq and is a predicted model, not a curated record. Lineage: Eukaryota; Metazoa; Arthropoda; Arachnida; Ixodida; Argasidae.